This 1426-nucleotide ribosomal RNA is filed under the name metagenome. RNAcentral describes it as "bacterial SSU rRNA". It matches the Rfam family "Bacterial small subunit ribosomal RNA". The record is from RNAcentral.
AGAGUUUGAUCCUGGCUCAGGAUGAACGCUGGCGGUAUGCCUAACACAUGCAAGUCGAACGGUCUCUUCGGAGACAGUGGCGGACGGGUGAGUAACACGUGAGAAUCUGCCUUUUGGUCGGGGAUAACAGUGGGAAACGACUGCUAAUACCGGAUGAGCCUACGGGUAAAAAAUUUAUUGCCAAAAGAAGAGCUCGCGCCUGAUUAGCUAGAUGGUGGGGUAAAAGCCUACCAUGGCGACGAUCAGUAGCUGGUCUGAGAGGAUGAGCAGCCACACUGGGACUGAGACACGGCCCAGACUCCUACGGGAGGCAGCAGUGGGGAAUUUUCCGCAAUGGGCGAAAGCCUGACGGAGCAAUACCGCGUGAGGGAGGAAGGCUCUUGGGUCGUAAACCUCAAAACUUAGGGAAGAAGAAAGUGACGGUACCUAAUAUAAGCAUCGGCUAACUCCGUGCCAGCAGCCGCGGUAAUACGGAGGAUGCGAGCGUUAUCCGGAAUCAUUGGGCGUAAAGAGUCUGUAGGUGGCACUUCAAGUCUGCUGUCAAAGACUGAAGCUUAACUUCGGGCAGGCGGUGGAAACUGAAGAGCUAGAGUAAAGCAGGGGUAGAGGGAAUUCCCAGUGUAGCGGUGAAAUGCGUAGAGAUUGGGAAGAACACCAGUGGCGAAGGCGCUCUACUGGGCUAAAACUGACACUGAGAGACGAAAGCUAGGGUAGCGAAAGGGAUUAGAUACCCCUGUAGUCCUAGCGGUAAACGAUGGAUACUAGGCGUAGACCCAUUUAGAUGGGACUGUGUCGAAGCAAACGCGUUAAGUAUCCCGCCUGGGGAGUACGCACGCAAGUGUGAAACUCAAAGGAAUUGACGGGGACCCGCACAAGCGGUGGAGUAUGUGGUUUAAUUCGAUGCAAUGCGAAGAACCUUACCAAGGCUUGACAUCCCACGAAUUUUGCCGAGAGGUGAAAGUGCCUAGGGAACGUGGAGACAGGUGGUGCAUGGCUGUCGUCAGCCCGUGUCGUGAGAUGUUGGGUUAAGUCCCGCAACGAGCGCAACCCUCGUCCUUAGUUGCCAGCAUUAAGUUGGGGACUCUAGGGAGACCGCCGGGGAAAACUCGGAGGAAGGUGAGGAUGACGUCAAGUCAGCAUGCCCCUUAUGUCUUGGGCUACACACGUACUACAAUGGUUGGGACAAAGGGAAGCAAAGCCGCGAGGUGGAGCGAAUCUCAUCAAACCCAGCCUCAGUUCAGAUUGCAGGCUGAAACUCGCCUGCAUGAAGGAGGAAUCGCUAGUAAUCGCAGGUCAGCAUACUGCGGUAAAUCCGUUCCCGGGUCUUGUACACACCGCCCGUCACACCAUGGAAGUUGGUCACGCCCGAAGUCGUUACUCUAACCGAAAGGAGGGGGACGUCGAAGGUGGGACUAGUGACUGGGGU